UUUUUUUUUUUUGGUGGUUGGUGUAGGAUUAUAGCAAACUGUCUUGGAGUUUGAGGUCUAAUUUUUCGGGGAUUGCUUCGAGUAGUAGUGGUAUUACUAAUAGCAGUGGUGAUGUUAUUAAAGCUGCUGGAAAUGUGCAAAUGCAAAGGGAAAGUGCUAUUCUGGGUUCUGAUCAGAGUGAAGAUAAGUUGGUGGAAAAUGUUGAUUCUUCCAAGGGCAGAGUGAUGCUUAUCGAUGGCACGUCAGUUAUUUAUAGAGCGUAUUAUCGGCUUCUUGGUAUGUGAUGUCUCUUUGUUGAUUGAAGGUGUUACACUUGAUUGUAUUUUUAACAUUUAUAUAUUGGAAUUUUCACUGCAAUGUAUUUAAAAGUUGACUUCUUGGGUGCAAGAAUAUUGUAUGAGGCUUAGCUGUUUGUUUGUUUCCUUAGCUUAGAGAUGGUAGCAAAUUUGACUUCUGAAACUAUAGCUGUAAUCUUGGUAAAGGAAACUUGGACGGUUGUGCUGGCUAACAUUUUGUAUUGGGGAUGGAGUUCUUCUACAACUUUCAAAUGUGUCUUGAUAAUAUGGAAGCUUUCAAAGAGUUUUUGAGCUGUAUGUUGCUCUUCAUUGUGGGUUCUGUUGGUUUUAGUUGCUUGUAAUGUGACUGAGGGUACAUAUUAAAAUAUGUUGACCUAUAAAUAUGCAACCAGCUAAUCCCAAUGUUGGUCAACCUAUUCCUGUAGUUAGGAAAAUAUUUUAGUGCUUUGAGCUAAAAGCUGUCAUUUAUGGUGUGCAGUUGAGUUAUGUUUUGAGAGUGUAUUUGAGGUCAUCAAAAUUUAGUCUAAACAUGGUUGAAUUUCAUUCCUCCAAUUUGACUCCUUUUUAGUUAGUAUCUGAAUUAGAUUACUGUCUACUAAUCUCAAAAGUCAAUUUUCUGCUUCUGAAUAGCUAAACUACAUCAUGGUCAUCUUUCCCAUGCUGAUGGUAAUGGAGAUUGGGUCUUGACUAUUUUUACGGCUCUGUCUCUUGUAAGUUAAAUUUAGUUUGGUAUCUGCUGAAUUUUCUACUUUUUCAUAUCAGUCUUAUUGUAUUAAGUUAUGUGGGACAAAAUGGAUUUAAAACAGCAUCCUUUUCCUGAGUGCUAUUUGAUUCUUUAGCUUCUAUGAGAUGCAAAACCAAGAAAGAGAUUCAUGAUGAAAUUAAACAAUGAAGUAUUAAGAAAUUAGGUUUUUCCAUAUUUUGUGCCUUUUACAGUUCUAUUGAUUACUGAUUAGACUUUUCUUGCAGAUAAUUGAUGUACUGGAGUUCGUUCCUUCACAUGUAGCGGUAUAUGUCUUUGUCCUCUGUAUUCUUGCUUGUCAUGAGAUUAUUUUUAUCUGUAUAUAUGAUAAAUCAUCUGGCAUCUUCAUUUUCCUUUUUUUAAAUCCUAAAAUUUAGAGCUCAAGAAUUUGUAAAUCAUUUUUAGCUCACCAAUUGCACAAGCUUAAGGAACUUCCCUGUUUUCAUAAGGACCACCAAAAGUAAUCUUGUAAGCAGUUGUCUAUCAUUGUACUACUCCAGUAGAUUGGCAGGGUUGGAUCACAGUGUUUUUAAGUCAGGUUAUAUGGACUUUUCAGAUGGAACACAAAUUUAUGCCGUCGUAGUUUAAAGGAGAAUGGAAUAUGCCAUCAUUUUUGUAUACUGGAGAAUAAUUAGCUUUUGUGAUAUAAACUUUGAAGUAUGUGAUUCAAAAAUUAACUAGCAAUUGCUGAACCUUUUGAGAAAGAGUAAUCACAAAAUUAUGUCAAUGGGAUACUUUGAUGUUUGAGGUGUAUAUCAUUACGUCUAGGCCAUAGUGUAUAUAAUUAUGUCUAGGCCAUAGUGGAUGCAGGAGCACUUUGAUUGUUUUGACAAAAGUUUGUGGCUUGCCCAUAAACUAUUGAUUUGGCGUUUUUCUGCACUUAUAUUAAUCUAGCAUACUUAUCUUGUUAAUAAACUAUGUCACACAUUGGUUUCCCGGGGGUUCGAGGACCAGUUGGAUUCCUUUUACUUCACAUAUCUCAUGGAUAUAGCUUAUAGGUUGUAAAUAUUUCUGAAGUGAAUUAAAAAAUUAUUUUCCCUGAACUCUGCUUAAACCUGAAGCAAUCAUCCAAGGAAGUACCAUUUAUGCAAAGUAGGGCAUACUCUAUUGAAGAAUCUCCAGUGCAGUAUUCUAUUUUCAUGAGGAGCUAUCUACUAUUUGGCUUGGCCCAAAUCAUCUCUUGUGCAAAAUGUGCCAUGCUUCUUUGAAAAUUUGCAAUUUUUUUUUUUUAUAUUGUUUUCUCAAUGGAGUCAAUGUGUUUGUUGGAUGUUAUCAGAGAAAAUGACGACCUUUCUAUGUGGCUAUCACAGUGAGGUAUAAUCAACAUUGUGUCUGAAGCAUUUUUUAGAGUUUGUGGUUGAAGUUUCCUUUGAUUACACUAUGGGAGUGUAAAUCCAAUUGGAAGUUAUUAUGAACUAAUCUGGGAUAGCUUUUCACAAUUCAAUGUUAUGUUUAAGGACAAAUUGCACCCCAAAUAGAGAGGAGACCAAUUUUUUGUGCCUGACUUGGGCUAUUGUCAACUUUAUGUGUCCUGCCAUUGUUGAGGUCUUAUUGUUUGUUUUAUCUGUUUUAUAUAAAUGCUAGGAUGUUCAUGUGCAAUGCUCUAAAUUCACUUGCUUUGUCUUCUGCAGGUGGUUUUCGACCAUGAUGGUGAGGUGCAUUCUAUUGCUGCAAUUCGAUCUGUUGGUUCUUUUCACCAACUCUAUCUCUUGCUUAUAUAAUUGUGGCUCUGCAUAUUAUGUUCACAAACCACCACCCACCACCCAGCUCCCUCCCCUUGUCCAGCUCAACCAGCAGCAAAGAGUGAAACAAAGCUUGAAAAUUUGAGCAUGAAUUUUUUGCUUGUUGACUAAUUUUCUCAUGCUAGCUAUCUUGUGCUUAAAUGAACAUCAAUGAAAGCAAUUACGCUGUGCGUUGUCAAGUUUUAUGAUGUUACAAUAGAUAUUAGACCAUUUGGGUCCAUCGUAUGAGAGUGCUGCAACAAAUGCUGAAGUCUUAUUUACUUAUUUAUUGUUUCAUGUUGUUGACAUCAGUGAUGCAGUUUAUUGGAUGUGGAAUCUUUACAGUAAAGAAAUAGGAACCUUUUGUAGAAUUUUGUUUGGAUCUUUUGUUUCUCAAAUUCGAAAUCUAGUCCAGUUAUUUUGGGAUGUUCUGGAGAGCUUUUUCUACCUUAUAGAUCCAUGCUUCUUCUGCUUCUCUAUAGGUGACUUUGGUAAUUCUUAAAUCAUUUAGUGAAACUUCUAUGCUCUUGAAAUUCUUGGCGGUUGCUGGUUGCAAGGGAAUGUCAAUAGAAAUUAUCUUCUUUUCUUUUGAAUUUAAGUUGAUAGAGAAGCAAUAAGUUUGUGUCUGUGGAGAGAGAGAGAGAGAGAUCUAUUGAUUAAUUUUCUUCAUCUUAGAUUUCUCUCAAUAAUUUAAUCAUAGAGCAUCCGAAAGAUUGCAAGUUUCUCCAGUUUAUAAUCCUGUCCCUCCUGUAUUUAUUUUGAUUGGAUUGGAAUUUGUUGAUCUAACUAAAGUGAUGAUCAAUCUAGAUAGAUGCUUCAGUAAUGUCAAAAAAUCUGAUUUCCCAGAAUGCUCUUCUUGUUUUCAUCUUUCAUUUUUAUUUAUCUGAUGUUCUUUCCAUAUUUCUUUGAAGAAGUUGAAACGGAACUAAAUGAAUACUUCAAUCAGCCUAUCUUGUGCCAACUUUUUGUGUCAUUCUUUUUAUCCUUCUACUAAGUCUUCUCAUAUUGGGUUAUUGUGUGUUUAACUGGUCUAAGCAUUUGCAUGAAAUGGCUUGUUUAACAGUCAGAAAAAUUGUUCUUCCGACCCUAACUACGUUAAUGUUGUUUGAACAUUUUAUAGGAAGUUCUAGACCCUAUAGACUUGUUCUGAUAUGAACUAAUCAAAUAAUGAAGCUUGUCUGUAAAAGAGUGUCAUACCUCCGCAGAAGAUAUUGGGCUUAGAUUGCAUGGACUUUAUGAGUUUUGCUACUCUGAUUUUGACAAUAUUGAGCACAUAUUGCUUUGAUUUUGAGUUUUAUGUUUCUUUAUUCAUAUGGCUUUGUUCUAUGGUAUUUCAGCUUGUCAAGGAACUUAUAAAUCUUGGCAUGGUUAUACAGUGAGGGGUUUCUGUUAGGAGAUAUAGUUAUGAUAAGUUAAGAUUUUCUGUUACAGGAGUUCCAUUUGGUCAUACGUCUGUUUCAUCCCAACAAAAUUUUGUUUCAAAAGGUAUGUUGUUCUUUUGGUUUUUUAAAUUUUGAACCUGUUUUCUGUUCAUAAUUUGAAAGAGAUAAGAGAUAUGUAAAAGUCAGUCAGUUUUACCAAUACUGAUCUUAAAGAUGUGUAAGAAUGCAAAAGUGAUGCGGAAUCUAAAUUGAAACUUGUAUUGUAUGUAGAAAAUCCGUCUGUAAUGUUGGCACUGUGGGGAGUGAUUAUCUUCAGUUGUGUGAUAUGAUUUCCUUGGGGUGCAUAUGAAUUUACGAUGAUGCUCUAUACCUAUUGUAACUAGAUGCAAUUGUAGGUUGACAAAUUUGGUGAAUGGUCAUUUGUAUUGAAGAAAGUCUUGUAAAUAAAUUCUUUUUCUAAAAUCACAUUAUGAAGGGAUUUUCUUUUUGAUGGUUCUAUGGUGCAUUGUCCAACUAUAUGCCAGCUACCCGAUAUUUGAUGGAUUCAAUCAUGCAUCAAUCGUGAACUAUUGAUCAUUUUGUGGUUUGGUAAUGCUAUGCUGCUCCAUGCAUGGGAAUUGCUUGUUCACUAUUGAAACUUUCUAACAGAAGGGUUUAAGUCUUUUGUUUAGGAAACAGGUUGUAUACUUCCCUGGCUGUUCUAUCUGUAUGACACUAGGUGAGGUAUUGGGUGGUUUGUUUAAUUUUCUUUUUAUGCAAUUGGCAUUGGAAGUGAGGAGUUUUGCUGGGAUAUGUAUUUGGGAUGGGACAGGUCAUAUUCUUUCCCUUUACAUUUUGACCUAUAAGUCACUCGAUUCUGUGAUUAAGUACCUAGUAAGGGUUUGUGUCGAAGUCUGUCAUGCAACGAGGUGAUCCUAAUGGCAUCAGGUAGGCCCUGAAAACUUGAAAAUAAAAAACUUGUUUAUGAUUUAGAUAAAGCUUUACAAAAGUCAUUUUGAACUGUUGCAUACGAAUGUCAUAGUUAUACACAUACUUGUCUUCUAACAAAACCUGCAAUUAACGACGUUUCUUGUUCAGGAAUAUUGAUGCCUCAAGAUAGAGAAUACAGUAAAGAAAGAAGCUAGAAAUCUUUGAAAGAUCAGAUGGCCAUAGGGCAGGGCAAUCUAAUCACACUUUUGAACCAAUGGCUAUCAAGUCACGCAUCUGAACCAAUAUGCUAGAUCCAAAUAUCUUAUCUUCCAGUAAAUGGAAUUUUAACUUCUGCCUUCAAACUAGAAACUAGGAACACUGAUCAGAAUUUUUCCUCUGUCUUUCACAUUUUGUGCACAUUCCUUUGGCAAGAAAACCAUUAAAUUGAAAGCACUGUUCAUCCAUAAGAGAAUUCUAGAAUUCACCCUAUCAAAUUUAUGAUUGGAUUUUUACUUUGCUUUCUUUAACUUCAUAGCAAAGCUUCAGAUUGGGUGGAGUUCAGGAUGAAUAACCACCCGGUGUUUUGAUAUAUAGAUAAUCCUUUGGCUCUGAUAUGCUAUUGAUGUAGUGUCAAUGAAGAGAUUGGUGAUAUAAAAUACAUGUGAGACUUCCUAAUUCUAGAAUUUCUCUUAAACAAGAUACUGAUGAUGGAUCCAUUUGGAUUUGAUAAGAAUGAUAUUUUUCAAGAUUGGACAGGUAUGAGAGUGCUAAAAUUUAGAAUUUCUUCAGAAACAUGAUGAUACAAUAUGGCAGACUGAUUGAAUUAGGAAACAGGAGUGGAGAGAAUUUUACAUCCUAGAAUGGGUACAACCUUUUUUUUCAUUCCAUUCAACCUAGAAGUGUGAAUACGCUUUACCUCCUUUAAUUGAUUGGGCCUUGUGGGUGAAAAAAAAUAGGCUAUGGAGUUUUUCUAAUUAGGCUUGGAAAUAUGGCAUGAUUAUGCUUCGCAAGUUACAAUGGAUUCAAGACAAGUAAAUUUCUUUUGACCAAAAGCUUUACUAACGUGAUGCAUUCUUAGCCUUAGAUUCCUGAGAGGUAACAUGCUGUGGGAUCAUUAGGAUACUAUGCUUAAACAGUACAGGUUAUACCGUGAUACCUCAAAGUUUUUGAGUCUCAAUGAAAUCUCAAUCACCCAAGUGGAGAAUACACUGAAAGUAGUGAGCCCCCCAAGCAACUUUAUCAGGCCUAUCUGUCUGUUGGAAAAUAUCAGAAGUAGUGAAUUCAAACUUCAGCUGGCUGGAUUUCUCCUACCAGUAGAUUCCACCUUUUUUGAACCAUGGGAUUAAAGUCUUCCAAGAGUAAUUUUACGAGACGUUGCAGCUGUCAUUUCUUUUGAUGCCACCAUUUAAUGCUGAUUGAGAUGAGCUAAAUCCACUUUAUAUUAACUUGAUGAUGUGGUGUUACUGUUCUUUCUUUGUUUUCACCUUUUCCUUUGUGAUUAAACAACUUCAGUUUCGUUGGGUCAGUUGGAUUGCUAUGAGAUAAACCAUCAGGUGUAUGUACUGUGGCCUCAGUUGUAAUAUAAUUUUUUUUGAUGCUUAUUAUUUCCUUUGGUACCUUGUCUUGUCUUUUCAUGUUGUCAUUGUGAUUGAUGUAUGUGAUUGAAGUUAUUUUGUUCCCUUAGCAAGUGCAUCAAAAAAUUGUUUGCUUAAAUCUUGUGUAGGCCUUAACUUUCGUCACACCCUUUAUCCGUUGUACAAAAGCCAUCGUCCUCCUACACCUGAUACCAUUGUUCAGGGACUUCAAUAUCUGAAAGCAUCCAUCAAGGCUAUGUCUGUUAAAGUGAUUGAGGUGAGAGCAAACAUAGUUUAGGUUUAACCUGACUUUUAUUUGAUUUAUAUUGUUGACUUUCCAGUUUAAUGUAGGUUCCAGGGGUUGAGGCUGAUGAUGUAAUUGGGACCCUGGCUUUGAGGAGUGUUGAUGCUGGAUUCAAGGUAGUUAUUUUAACUUUGCAAAAUCUAUGAGAUGAUUUUCUUGGUAAAAUACCAAGAUCUUAUGUGCUAAGCUUUUCAAUUGACUUAACCUUGUUUUCUGUUCGAUAUUUAGAAGUAUGAAGUUGGUAUAAGUUUAAGCCAUGCAUAUAUUUUUUCAAAAGUAAGGCUCUUGUUGACUUUUUCAGAAGAUAUACAAGAUCGAAAGGGAUUUUUUUUCCGGGUAGAAUUACUUCUAGAAGCACGGUAGAGAUGGAUGGAAUACUUUUCUUAAUAGGGAAAUUUCAGAAUCUCCUUAGCAAGAAAAGAUGUUAAGUUAUGCAUCUCUGUUUUUCCUUUAGGCUAUUGAAGGAAAGAUCAUUUGUUUCGGUUUUAAUAUGCAUAAAAGGAUUAUUUUACCAGUAUUGUAACUUUAACAAAGUGCUUUAAACAAACUUCAUUGGUUGAUGGUACUUGUGGUUACUUUGGUCCUAAUUCAGUACUUCCCUUGUCGUGCAUUUAUUGCAGGUGCGAGUAGUCUCCCCAGACAAAGAUUUUUUUCAAAUCCUAUCUCCUUCGUUGCGCCUUUUGCGGAUUGCUCCUCGUGGAUUUGAGUGAGUAUAUUAUCUUCAUUUUUGUUGAUUUGGUCUAUGAGUUGGACAACUUUUGUGAUGUCUAAAUUAUACUUUUUAUGUAUGGAUUCUUUUACAAUCUUAUAUUUUUGCUGUACUGAAUGAACUUCUAUUUGAAAUUGGACUCACAUCUUUAGAUCUUAUUUCAUCAAAUUGAUUGUUGAUAGUUCAUUGAAGAUAUCAAUAUAAACAGCUGAUCAGCUUGAGAUAGCUAGGGCCUAAACCGUAUGUACCCAAUGCAUAGUCAAACUAAGCUUGAGACCGAAAAUUGUAGUUCCAAGAAGAGGCACACAACCAGCUUCUCAUGGGAAGUGAGAGAUUAUAAAGAUGGUGUUCGAGCCUUCAAUGGCAAUUGGUUAUGUUUAAUUGCAGAGAAUUUUCAUAUACUGUUCUUACUUUGGUUCUCUGUGUCAUACUGCCUAGUGUGGGAAAUUUUACUUUGGGUACAAACCUACUGUAUGUACCCAAUGCAUAUUAAAUUAGGCUUGAGACUGAAAAUUGAUGUAGUUCCAAGAAUAGGCACACAAAUAGUUUUUUGUGGAGCUUGAGAGAUUAUAUAGGUUGUGUUCAAGCUUUCAAUGGCAAUCUCGGUCAUAUGUAAUUGCAAACAACUUUCAUCUACUGUUCUUACUUGGGCUCUCUGAGACGUGCGCCGCCCUGAUGUGGGAAAUCUUGCUGAAAGUUGGAAGAAACUGGUCUAUAUUUAAUUUGUGGUGGGUAUGGUGACCCAUAAUUUAGGUUGUAUUUCGCAUACCCCCCAGUCCCACACCCAAGUUGUUUUUUGGAUCCCUCUCCCUUAACUGUGAUAGCUGAUGCAUGUUUUACCACUUUAAUCAUUUUUGUCCUUUCCUUUUUUGGAGAUUGUCCAUGCCUAUGAACCCUUAUCAGUGCCCAACUGUCUUAACACAGAAAGCCUUCCCAAAUCCUUCUUCCGUCCUUGAACAACCUUUCUAUUCCAUCUUUUACUCGUGCUAGAUGGAUUGAGUCAAAACACAAGGGUAAACUUUAACAGUUUUAUUUUUCAUUGGUAUUUGCUAACGAUACACUGUCUGCUUAAUGGAGUGGUGGCCAACUAGCAACUGCACCAAUUGUUCUGGUGCCUAUAGCUGAGAUGGGCAAUGGUAGGCAUGGUCAUUGUUUCAACUUUUAAUGGUGGAGAGGGUGGUGGUGAUGGUGACCGUUAGUGACUGUGACGGUUACAUGGUUGUGGCAGCAGUAGCAACAGCGCAAUGCAGGUGGUGGUUGCCACCAACAGCUGCAAGGUCAGCAAUGAUCAUGUUGUUUGGUGGCAGCAUAGUUGUAGUAAUUGAAGGAACCAAACUGGAAAUAAAGGAGAAAACAUGGGAAAAAGAAAUAAAGAAUAAGUAUACAGAUAGGAAGAUAUGUCUUUACCUACACCCUGAUCGCCUGGAGAAACUACCAAACUGUCCACAUUCUCCCCCCCCCAACAAAAAAAACCCCAUCUUUAAUAUUCAGUUGUUCAAUCCAAAAUUUAUUCUUUUUUCUCAUUUUCCUAGUUAGAGCUUUUGACUUUCUGAUGCUGCUACUUAGGAUGGUUUCAUAUGGCAUGGAUGAUUUUGCUGAACAAUAUGGAUCGCUGACGCCUUCUCAGUUUGUUGAUGUUGUUGCCCUUGUUGGUGAUAAGUCUGACAACAUACCAGGUUCCAUCUUUCACUAGAAAAAUGCUUGCCCUACUCACUUAAAGCUGAAAAGGAAGAAAAAGAAAAAGUCUUUAUAUGUGAAGAGUUAAUCAAAAGCUGUCCUGUAUUUUAGUAUUCUAGAGUUAUGCAUUUCAGAUUUACGUAUUAUCAUGUUAAUAAAACAGCCCAAAACCACUAUGUUGUUUGUGCUUUGAUUUUACCUUUUCAUGUAAUCGAAAACUAGAGGUGUCAUAUAUGAGAUAUUUGAGAUAUAAUAUUUUCAAAAGAAUUAUUCCUUUCAGAGUUUGCCUCCAUCUGUUUUAUGGCAAAUUGGAUGCAAAAAAAAAAAAUAGCUGCUGAUCUAUAGUCUUGUACAUGCUUUAAUUUUUGUUAAAAUGUUUGUUGAUCUCUAAAUAUUUUGUUCUUUGGAUUUCAGAUUCUUUUCAUUAAUUCAUUUUGGAUGUAUAUGUACUUGUGGAUUUGAACAUAUUUGAACUUCUGGGUUCUUUGACUGGAGUUCAACGUACAAUGCUCAGCACAUAACAUAAUUAGGGCAGCACAACAUUUUGAACUUCUGGGUUCUUUGACUGGAGUUCAACGUACAAUUCUCAGCACAUAACAUAAUUAGGGCAGCACAACAUUUUAAACCUGUCCUAUAACUAGUCCAUCAGUGUGGUAACUAGGUACAAGUCUAUGGGAUGUUUGAAGGUCUUAUUUUAUAAUGAUACAUCCUUGUUCAUUUACCUCUUCUUCCCGGUAAGUAGAUAGAUGGCUUUUACCUCUAAAAGCCUUUAUGUAGCUUGUUUUGAGAUUUAAUGUAUGACAUGAAUAUUAAGCAUGCUCAAUGAGUCUAUACAAGCUAGCUUUGAUAUACAUAGAUGGAACUCCUAACUUCUUCUUGUGAAUACUUAACAAAAAACGUAACUUGCUAAAAUAUCCUGAAAGUUAACUGCUAGCUUCUUGACAAAGGCAUUUUUCUGUGAAUGAAAAUCAUAUUUUGCUUUCACAAUCUUUACCACCUCACCUUUGGCUUCUAGUGCUUUAAUAAGUGUUUACACUAAUUUUUCUAAGUAAUCUUUUUCUCCUCUCUUUCUUCCUAUUUUGAUUUUACAUUUGCGAAUUUGCUGAAAAUUCAUGUGAACCUGUUUCUUUGAAGUCAGUGUCAUAUACUUCAUACUUUCAAACAACCACAUGUUAUGGUUAGUUAACUUGAUCUUAGAUUUAGGGGCUGCAUGACGAGUUGUCUGAUUUCUAGCUUGUGCAUUAUCUUUAGAUUCUUCAUAGUCAAUAAUUUGAUAGUUGCUCCUAGUCAAUCAAAAUGCUGCUUAUGAAAUUGAUCAUUGAUUACUUAAACUGUCAAAUGCAGGAGUGGAUGGGAUUGGAGAUGUUCGUGCCGUGCAAUUAAUAACAAAAUUCGGUAUGUUAUUGCUAGAUUACAGUUUUCUUGGGCAAACACGUAGAGCCUGUGAUACCUUUUCCUCUUUAGAAAUUUCUCUCCCGGAGCAACUUCAACAUUGCAGGCUGAGAUCUACCUCAAGAUUCUUCCCCUUGACAGGGACUGUAACAGGAAAGAAAAAAUAUCAAAAUUAAAUCUGAUACUGUCACCAAUGCCUGCAUACCUCUUAUGAAUGAGAAAUUUAAAUAUUUAACGGUAACUAAAUCAUACAAAUGCAAAGAUGUAGUAGAUUGGCUGCGAAUUGAUGUCAAUUAGGCAUGAAGUUGAGUGUGAGAUUUUUCUCUGGCUGCUUUUAUAUGGAUGUUUGGUCAAUAAUCGCCUGGUUGUCUCCGUUAAGUUGCAUCAAGACAUGGUAUUCAUUGAUUCUGGUUUCAUUAGUUUCUUGUUAUCCAAAUAUAACAAGGGAAUGUUCUUAAAACACAAUAUGUAUUUUCAGAUUAAUUAGAAGACUCUACCGUCCAACUACCCCUAUGUAUAUACCUACUUAUGAAGGCUUUGACAUUUCUUUCAUAACCAUCUAUUUCCUGAUUAAGUUUGACAUCUUAUUUCUCCGACUGCUGUUGUUUGAAAUAAAGGAUUUUUCACUUAGUUGCUUGUCAAAACUGCUUUUUGAACCUUGAUAAAAAGAAAAACCUUUGUUCCUUAAGAAACCUCUCAAGUUAAUUGCCAUGUGUAAUUUGUUUGCAAACAAACUGUGCUGUUGGAUAGGCAUGUAAAAUCUUGAUCUUUUUCCUUUUAUCGUAGGUACAUUGGAGAACUUGUUGGAAUGUGUUGAGCAAGUCAGUGAGGAGAGAAUCAGGCAGGUAUGGAAUCUUUGUUAAUUGCAUAGAUCAUCAAUGCCAUAUUAAUGGUUCUGAUGUUGUCUGUGGCUUUCUGAGGGUGUUGCUAGUAAAAAGUCUUGAUUCUUCUAUUACUGUUCUACGUUGGUACUUUUCUGAUAGCUGGAUUAUGUAGUUCUGCUCCAGAGUUGUACAGUAAUUGACAAAUUUGUUUGAAAUUAAUUUUAUCUGCUUUCAGGCCUUGAUAAUGAACACUGAACAAGCUAUCCUAAGCAAGAAUCUGGCAAGUCAUCUGCUGCUCUCAGAAUUUUCUUUUGUUCCCCUUUUUCCAUAGCUAAAAAUGAUGUGUUUGUACAGGCAAUGCUACGUUGUGACCUGCCAUCGUAUAUGGUUCCUUUUGCAACAAAUGACCUCUUGUUUAAGAAGCCAGAGGUAGGGGCAACUAUUAGCUGCUUAGAAUUAUUUUGUUUUUGGAUUCCAAUAACCAUGAACUUGAUUUUGAUGAUAUUGUAUGUUUCCUUAAUACUUGAGGGCUCCUGCAGUAUGUCUGUUUCCAUAUAAUAUUUCAACUGCUUAUCUAGUAAGAGCUCUGGUGUUAAAGUUGUGUAUUGUGUCCUUUUCCUGCCACUGAUUUUUUUAGAUUUACUAUUUAACUAGAGUAAAAGGUCAAAUGCUAUGCUUUGUUCAACUUUGCAAUCCUGGUGUUAAUUAUUGAAUUUGAGACCAUAAUAAUCUAAUAGCAAUACUUUUAACUUCGAAAUCUAUCUGCUAAUCCCUUGCAAACUUUUAAUUGUAUUUUGAACUUGAAUGGCGGUAUAAAAGAGAGAAGGGAACUAACAAUGGGUAUUUGAAGACGAGAGGAAAACAAAAGAUGAACCCAUCUCAUAUUGUAGCAUCGCAAGCUGGCACGUUACAGAGUAUGCCAAAUAUGAUAUUUUUCGCUACUUGAAGCAAGUCAGAUGUACUUUUUACUGAAAGAAAAAUGCCUCCAUGUUUUAUUUGAAUGUGAUUCCUUCACUUGUUGCUCCUCAGUUGACCAUAAUCACAGCAAUCUUCUCUGAAAUUUUUGAAAUUGCAUUUAUGGUCCUUCUGGUUGUUGACACAUAGUGGCUCUUAUAAACUCACCUAUAUUUUUGACUUAUGGUGUCCUCUAUAUUAUUGUAUUUAGAAGGAUAUUGCUGAAUAUAAAAGAAAUACCUGAGAGGGUACCAAUAUCAUUUGAAGAAACUCGUGAUGGAAUUUGAUGGAAUUUCUUAGAUCAUCAGAACAUAUUUUGUCCAGGAAAAAGAAAUCAGUUGCCUUUAGAUGAAACUUAAGAUGGCCAUCUUCUCUUGACCAUGAAGAUCAAGGAUCCGUUAGCCUUCUCAACAAUAUUUAAGAGAAGAUAGAGGGCCAUAAAUGACAGUAUGGGGAAAAUGCUUUUAGAACUUCACAUCAAAGCUGAUGCUGAGGAGUGCUAUCUGAUAUCGAUACAUGUUACUGUGGCGUGGACAUGAAUUAUACAUUCUCAUAUUGUCCUGUUUUGAUAUCUAAAUCUUUGGCAUUGUUAUUUUCUCAUUCUCUAGUCACCAUGCGGAACUAAUUGAUAAUGAAAGUUCUGCUGCAUUAUUCUGUUCUUUAUGUUCUUUAUGCUAUAUGUGUUAUUUAUCUAAAAGACUUCUUUAUGCAGUUAAGGACCAACUUAGGGUUCCUUUGCUCAUGCUUUGGUUUUCGGGUAUUUUUGCACAUAUCUGCUGAGGAAUGGAGUACAGGUCCUUAUGUUGUCUAAAGGAAAUGUGUUUCUGUAAAAGCCUAAGGCAUCUAAGGUCUUUGGUGCAGGAUGAUGGGGAGAAAUUCACAAGCCUCUUGACAGCAAUAAGUGCUUAUGCAGAAGGAUCCUCAGCAGAUUCUAUCAUCAGAAGAAUGAUUUAUUUGUGGAAGAAGCUUGAAAAGAAGCAAUUGAGAUGAUAGUCUUUAUUGAUCACUCUAACUGUUCUUAUUUGCUAAUGGAAGAUGUCUUUUGUGUACAUCCCGUUGUACAGAGUAAAUUGUUGCUCUCUUUGGAUCAUAGCUUGCUUGUAAUUUCGGGUAUAGGAAAUGACUCAACUUAAAUUGCUUACCAAUUUAUUUCUUUGGUCAUGUGUAUCUUAGAACUCUCCUCACAGCAUUCUCUUUGUCUUUGCAGGUUCCGGGCUAAACAAGCUUUCAGUCAAUCACAUAUAUGGGAAACUUUACAAGUGAUCUGACUAAGCGAGGAUGGUAACAUAAAACAUGGACAGCGGAAGAAAAUAUGGCACCUGAUGUGGUCAUUUAAAAUCCAUUUUCGGGUCAAGCAAACAUCUUUUAGUCGAAUGUAUGGAGCGGUUGAAACUUGCUUCUUGUGCCUUCUAGUAUAUGCUGUGUAUGCUAACGUUUUGAUCUGCUAGUUUGAAUGAUAGAAAAGAAGAAAAAAUGUGGAUUAGUAUUUGAGAAGCAAAUGACUUGAUUUUGUCAAGUUGUUUUGCAUUCUGCGUCUAUCCUUGUAUUCGCGUGGGAAUUCCAGAUCUUUUACACUCAACACCUGACCAAGUGAAUCCCGUGGUAGAAUAUUAUCUGCACGGUGCAUGUGUCUAGCUUUUAUCAGCAAAUUUUCCUAUCGAAAUUGGAUAAAAGGUGAAAAACCCAUUAACCGAAGAAUCAAAGAGAACUAACAACAUUAAAGACUUUUCUAUUAACAGAUCAAAAUCUUACAAUAGCUGCAGCUCUCUAGAAAGAUGAACAGCUAGUUUGCGAGUUUAGGAUAGAAAAGAAAAGAUCUGAAAGCUUAAGUUACGAAAGAAAAGAAAUGAAGAGAAAAGAAGAGAUUGAGUUGAGUUUUGAUGUUGUUUGAGAGUUUAUAAAAGAAAUGGGGGUAGAACUAAAAAUAGUUUUUCCCUCCACCUAGUGGAGUUAAAAAAAAUGCUCUCCCCUGAACCUCCAUCUCUACCUCCUCUGAUUGAGGAGGACUUCAGUGAAAUCACCACCUCUUCCGUGUUGAUAGCCAUCUCAUGUCAUCAACCGUUACUAGUUUCGCACCAUAACCCUUCCUUAGAAAACCUAGUUCAAGAGGUAGGAACCGUUACUAAUGAUAAACCCUCUUUGAAACCUCUUUUGAAAAACUAGGGGAGCCCUUUGCGAGUAAGCCAAAUACAUAACCUCCCCCAAAGCCCCCAACCAAUCUUUAAUUUGGGACAGUAUAUCCUUGUCUUGGAAAAUGCAUCAACAGAAAUUUUAGAGCGAAGUUUGAAACUUGAUGAGCCGGGAAGGACGAGUGCAAAAUAAAAAACUCAUCUUUUUGAUGAGGUCAAGAUUUGCAUAAGGGGAAAAUCGAGCCACUCCUAUUGUAGAAGCUAGGGUUCAAGUUCUUGGACCAGAAAGGGAGUUAUGGAAGCCCCAAGGGAACUUAGACAUCUUGGACCUUGGAGCAGACUAUUUCGUCGCAAAGUUCUCAGAGCAAAAGGAUUAUUAGAUAAGGGUGAUGUUGAACUAAAUAACUCGACUCGAGUUCGCAAGCUACUCGGUUAACAGCUCAAUUCGAGGUUGUUUUGAUUGAGCUUGAGCUCGAGCUCCAAUAUGUUGUACUCAAAGGCUCGACGAGUCUAAUCGAGCUUUUUAUAAUAUAUAUAUAUAUAUAUAUAUAUAUAUAUAUAUAUAUAUAUAUUAAUUUUUUAAUAUUUAUUAUUGUGAAUUGUCAAUAAUAUCCUUUAUUUAAAAUUAUAUGUAAAAUAUUAAUUUUUAUUACAUGAGCUUGAUUAGACUCGAAUAGGCUCGAUUAAACUUGAUUACACUCGAAUACGUUUGAUUGAGUUUGAUUUGACUCAAUUAGAUUUAAUUAAAUUCGAGCUCGAGGAAGGUAAACUGAAGUCGAGUUCGAGCUCGAGCUCGACUUCUAAAAACUCGACAAGCUCGAGCUCAAUUAUUUUAUCUCGAGUUGAGCUCGAGUGCACACUUAUUAUCAGAAGGUGAUCUCUGAAGGACCAUGGUUCAUUAAUAGCCAUUUUCUUACAAUAAGAACAUGGCAACCUAACUUCAUGCCAAGGCUUUUGGGGUUGUCAGUGGAAUACUAUGAUCGGGAAGUUCUCCAAAAGAUUGGAGCAGCCCUGGGUCUUCUACUCAAAAUUGACUCACAAAUUGUCACCAUGAUCAGAGGGCGAUUCUCAAGGAUGUGUGUAUUCAGAUAGAUAUCAUUCUACCAUUAGUCCACUACUAAGAUAUAGAUGAUCAUGUGCAACCAGCCCAGUACAAAGGGCUGAACUUUGUUUCAAAUGUGGCAGAGUGGCAAGGAUUGAGAAAGAUUGUUUACAUUGCAUUUAGGAUAUGGAAGGGCAAAAUCAAGCCAGGUAUUACCCCAAGCCAGACAACAAUUUGCAAAAUCUCCUGCAUGGUCGUCUUGGCAAUUAUGGGCCUUGGAUGAAAGUGAUGAAGAAUCCAAAGUCCAAACAAUCAGUAGAAUGGGCCCAAAUUCAAAUUUGAAUUGGCAAUGAAACUUGGGCCAAUUCCCUAUAGUAAGUCAACUUUAGGGAAUAGGAUCUUUGAAAGACAAUGACCUAACAAGAAGUGGUUCCCUAAGUCAAAGGCUGGCACUCCCCUGAUGGAGGAACCUGAUACACUGCAAAAAACUUUCUCCCCUAGAGCUAAACUUACUAACCCUUUCAUUUUGCUCCAAAAUGAGGGGUCACAAAAAGGGGAAGAAUUGGAAGAAGCAAACCUAGGAAAGCCAACUAUGGAUGGUGUGAUCACCAAAAGACACUCCCAUUUCCAUAAUAGAGUGUACAAGAGGCCGAAAAAUGGAGGAUGGAAAUCUCACUAACAAAAAUCAGAAGAAAAAGGGAUUAGAUCAAAAAACUUUUGGAAGGGCUACUCUGCUAAGGAUGCUUUAUUAGAGAAGAACUCUUAGAGGCCAUUAUGCGCCAAAGCACAUGCCCAAAUCCUCUAGAGGAAAGACCUUACCACAUGGAGCAAAGAAGGAUAAUGAUGAACUGCACCAUCAACAAUUGGAUCCAGGAAGCAGAGCAAAAUCACCAAGAGUAGAAUGGAGAAUCGGUAGACUCCCACUAUGUUUACAUAUCGUAGUACCUUUGGGAAAUGCUACUCCAAGGAAGCCCCAACUCCCCCAGCAGAGCCCACUAAAGCAACAUAUUAGGGAUGCUUAAUCUGUGGGCGACACGCACUCGCCUGGACAUCUCAUAUACCUAGACCUCUUCAACAGAAAUGGCAAAAUCAAAGAGUUGGAGGCACACAACAAACAUGGAACUAGAGAACAUAAGACUAGUACAAGACUAGCACUGGAGGACUGGUUGUCAACAGUUGGAGAAGAGAAAGGGGUGGUUUUCUACAACCAGACACCAAAUUGGGAUUAGAAAGUCGCCUAAGAAGAAGAUGGAAAGGAGAGUAUCUGUCGUCUUUCCCUUUACAUUGGGCAUAGACUGGCUCAAAGAGGUUGGAACUUUCAUUUUCCCAGGGUCAGAGGUAGUAGUAGCAGAAGUAAGCACUAGAAUGGACAGAAUGGGAGAGAGUCCCCACAUGGACUUUAUUAUGAGAAUUUGGCCACUGAUAGGGAACCAAAGUGUCAGGACCCAAAAAUUAUUUUAUAUUUUCCUCCUAUUUUUGAAAAAAUUAAUUUAUAUUUCCUUUUAAUUUUACUUUACUUGCAUAUUUUCUAGCCUUAAUUUGAUCGUGAUUUUAAAGGUUAAGUUAAGAUUUUUAUCAUUUCCUUUUCUAUAUUUUAGUGCAUGUUAAGUUUUGUAGAGUAUUAAGGUAGUGUGACCGACUAGUGAGAUGUGUGUGUUAUAUUUAGUGGACGAGAACGAGUGUGGUCCUAGAGGGAGUAUGUGAUUAAAAGUGUUAAGAGUGUAUUAGAGGAACACAAGAUAGAUUAGCUAUAAGAAACACAAGAGAGACAAAGAGAUAGGAAUGGAAUUUGAUCUUGACACUUGUCAACCAUCAAGCCAAGACUUUGACCAAGAGAAAUGUUGUAUUUAUCUUCCAAAUUAGCUCCAAAAACUCUCAUUUUUCCUUGCUUUGGCCGAGCUCCUCACUCCCAAAAACAUGAAGAAAAAACUCAACUUUCUUCCUCCAUUUCUUGCUUCAAAUCUCCCCCAAACUUUGGUUGAUUCUUGGAACCUUGCUUGAGCUUGGAAAGAAGUCUUGUUUGGAGGCAACUCUUGGAGGAAACUUGGACUUGUUGCUUGGUUGAAAUUGCUAGGAGAGGUAUUGGCUUGAAACCCUCUCUUUUCUUCAAGUUUCUAGUAGAUUUGUAGCUAGAAAAAUUGGAUCUUUGAUGGGUUUCUUUGAAACCUUGAUUUAGGUAGAUGAUUUGAGGAAAAUUUCUAUUUUGAAAGCUUCUUACUGGCCAAAACUUUUGAGUGCUGUUAGCCCUUAUUUUUUAAAACUUUUGGGGGAAAUCUUGCUCCACAAACUGUGUUAGACAUUAAACUUUGAUUGUGAGUUGGAUUUGAACAAAAAAUCAUGAGCUUAAGUGGGAAGGUUGAGUCAAGUGUUGCUGAAAAUUUUUCCUGCAAGAGACUCUGAGCAGUCUUGGGAAAUCUGUUAUAUCUUGGUGUAGAAAAAUUCGAAUUGAGUCUCGUUUGUUGCAUUUGAAACUAGACUCAUAACUUUUUAACCGCGUAAAAUUCAUGGUUUGGUUCAUUUUCUAUAAAUACCAGUAAAAUUUCCAAGUGGGCUGAAAAUCUAAGACUAUCUUGAUUUUGCGCUCAGUUGAGCAGUGAAUUGAGGCUGAGAUUUGACUAAGUUAUGGGCUAAAUUUUAUGAAGCUAUCUUCUAGAGAUUGCAGAUGUUUGAGUCUAUUUUCUAACGUAUAAGAUUUAUGAUUUUUGGACUUACGAAACUCAAGUUAUGAUUUUUCAAAGAGCAUUACAAAAAUUGGGAUUUUUCUUAUGAAAUGACAAACAAAACUUGGAAGGUUUUGGCCAAAUCUUGGAUUGGAAUUUGUCUCGUUUCCUCUAACUUUAAAGUAAAAUUUUGCUCAACAUAGUUUGCUAAUCAAUUGCCCUCGAAUGUGCUUUUAAAAGGAGCAACAAGUUUGAAUUAAAAGGGAUGAAAAGUAGAGCGUCAUUCCAAGAGUUUUGUGGGAAAAUUUCAUUUGCUUGAUGUUCAAAACUUGGAGGAUUUGUUGGUGUUUUGGCUCCGAAAUAAAUCGUGGUUUGGUGAAGUUUUGACUUUAUAAGUUUUAGUAAACUUGAAUGCUCAUUUAUAUAUAUCAAAACUUGGGCAAAAGAUUAGGAGUUAAGGAAGUGAAAGUGGUUUUCCCUCCCACAUGUAUUUUGUUAAACUCUUGAGCGGUUUGGCUAACUUUUGAAUCGAAAACUCUUGCCACAUUUUGACUUACAAUUGGAGCACUUUUGAAUCUACCCUUGAGUGUUAUCUUAGUGGUUAAGUGAAGAGAGUUUCUCUCUUAAUUUGACAAGAAAUUGAGCAUGCUUGAGUGGAGGGUUGAGGGGAAAUUGUUGGUUGAACGAUUAUAGGUAAUUAUUAAUUGUGCAUGUCUCAGGUAUUCAAGAGGAAUUCGAGGGAAACCCCAAGGAGAACUUGUGAAAGCUUUUUUCUUGUCUUGCUUACUUGACUAUUGGUGAGUGUUCCUUUCAUGCUCAUGCAAUAAGUGACUAUGUGAAAAUUUGUGAGUGAUUGCUUGAAUGUUAAAUGCUUUUCAAUGAUUGUUAAAUGGAUUUUCGAUAGGCGAGUGUGUACUUUAUUACACUCGACCUAAGUGAACGGGAAAUUUUCAAUGAUCAAAUGAUUGAAUGGUACUUGUGCAUGAAUGUAAGCUUUUGGCUGAACUGGGCCCUUGCCCUUUGUUGCUAGUCGACUCAAGCCAGAAGCGGACUUGGUCGGACGGCUAGUGACCCUGGGACACUGUUUGGUAUAUUCGAGUAUGACCACGAAAUCUGGUAAAAAACUAGCCAGUGAAUACAAUGCAAUGAUUGAAAUGAAUGAAAUGAACAAUGAAGGAGUUUUCACUACUAAAUGUUUUCAAAUAAUGGAGGAAUAAGGGAAAUGAUCGGCGACCGACUGACUGAAUGAAUGGCUCCAAGUGAGCGCGUAUCCUUCCAAUGAUUGAAUGUUUAUUUCUUGAAUGACUGUUUAUUACUGUACAAAGUGUACAAAGUGUUCAAAUUGUUAAAUGUAAUACUUCCAUGUUUUAUCUACCUGAUUGCUUACUUAGGAACGUCACUGGACUUUUAGCUUAUUCCUUUAGUUUUUGUUUUCCUUACAGGAGUGGAGGAUGGAGCAAUUAAGUGUGAACUAGAGUGUAUAACCCUCUUGUACUUUUACUUUUGGUAGAUAGAUUGUAUUUCGACAUUUGAUGUUGUAUUAUACAUUUGACUUUUUGGUUGUAAAUAAGUUUGAAUUUUGGUUGAGUUGUAGAACUUAAAUGUUAUUUUUGGAGGAUUGCACGUUUAAUCUUGAGAGUUGAUUGAAGUGAAUGAGUGAGUCCUGACGAGAGUUGGAUAGUCGAUCCGCCAAACUCUUGGGUAUGCCCUAAAGGGAGGUGGGGUCGUCACACGAAGGGGAACACCCAGAGAGGGGAGGAUGAGCCGCCAAGGGAGAUAUAAUAGAAGGAUAAACAAACAGGCACUAUAUGUGCCAGGGUUCAACCUAUUGAGACAUUUUAGCUAGAUAAAGAUCAUUACAUGGAAUGUAUGAGGUGCUGAGAGCACCAUAUUUAGAAAUCAUCUCCUAGACCUCUGUGACAUAGACCAACUAUUGGUUAUGAUCAUAGCAGAAACUAAGAUCUUCGGGCAGACAGCCGUUGACAUGUGUCAAAGCUUGCCAUUUGAGGGUGAUAAGUGUGUAUUUUGUGUGUGUUUUAUAGUUUUUUUUGUGUUUUAUUCAUUUUUAUAGCUAGGUUUUCAGUGAAGUAUACAUUUUGCAGUUCAAAGUGUGAAAUAUUGUAUUUCUAUGGAUUUAAGUGGUGAAAACUUCAUGUUUUUGCAUGUUUUAAUGAUUCAAUCAUCAAAUGGAAUGAAUUGAGAAUAUAUUUGGAUGAUUGUUGAAUAUUUGAAGUGAUUUAAAGAGAAUAUGAAGUGCAAAACGUUCAAAAGAUGAAAUGCAAUCAAGUAUAAAAGAAGAGAUGUUUGACAGCUUUGACACCUUUUGGUAUUUCAGCUAUAACUUGAGUUAAAAGUAUCAGAUUGAGGUGAUCAUUGAGUUAUUUUGAACCUAAGAUAUAGCUCUACUUUUCUUAUGAAGUCAUCAAAAUCCAGUUCAUGCAUUUUCAUGGUCAAAAGGUCAAAACACCGUUGGCUAUUUUUGUUGUCAAAAUUGAAAUAGAGGAUUGGCUAGUCAAGGUAUUUUAGCCAAUUCUUAAUCGACAGACCUCCAAACUAUAUGAUUCUUAAUGCAUCGAAAAUCUAACUCAAAGUCUAUAACUUUUAUGGUUUGUACAAGAGUUAGUUCAAUCUUCAUCAUUGAGAAAUAUUAGUUGAAUUUGGUACAAAAUAGAGCAAAGAUGAAGACUGAUUAAAAAAGUGCAAACCUGCAAGGAAGGCAAUACACGAACUUACGCCUGCGUAUUGAUCCCGUGUAUUCUAUAAACGUGUGUACAACUUGCACAACCACUUGUUUUGAUUUUCACAACUUUUUACAGCUAAAUUCUAAUAAGCAUUUCGAUUGUAGCUAUAAAGUAGAGCAUGGAGACUUGUAGAAGAAUAUUUUGAGAAUCUCAAGAGCAUUUUACAUCAACUUUAACAGCUUAUUUGGAGUUUGAAAUCAUCUAUAAAUACGGGGAUUGAAGACAUAUUUUCAUAACUUCGGAAGCUAGAGAAAUUACACAAAAAUGUAGUCUUUUACUAGAAUUUCCUUAGUUCAUUAGUUAGGGUAAAUUAGUAUAGUUUGUUUCAUCCAAGUCUUGUAUGUAACUAAGCAUAGAUGAAGUUGAAGAUGAAUAUGGAGAGUUUGGAACACAUGUGACAAGGGUGACACUUCUUCUAUCACUUUAUUUCUUAUAUUGAUUCUAAUGUUUGAUUAUAAUAAAAGUUUGAAUCUUGUUUUCAUGUCUUUCAUAUUUUGCUAAGUUUUUGUACCUAGGGUGUGGAUGAACUUCUAUGAUUGUUAUGUGAUUUUUUCUUGAUUAUUUGAUGAUAUUAUUUUGAACAAAUUUUUUUAGCACUUUUGCUUUGUAAUCAUGAUUAAUUGGCCAUUACUUGUGAUAAUCUUAAGUUGUUAAAUUUGCAAUGAAAAUUGAGAUUUGGCACUAGUUCAAGAAAACGCUAAAUCUAGGGAGUUCACCCACGAAAGUAGAGGAGUACCUUUAUGGAUUUAAUUGCUUGUCCCAUGUAAUUUUAUAAAAGAAAUGAGGUUGUAGUUAAUUUCAUAACCACGAGAGUAGAUAUGACUUAGUUACAAGUAUAGUUGAUUCAUUACGAGAUUAGGUUUCAUAUUCAUUAGGAAAUUACGUUAUAACUAACCAAGAUAAUAACAUUCAAUUAAUCGAUAAUUUCACUUGCAGGAGGAGUGAGGAAUUUUAUAGCACUAGGAGCUUUCUAUUGUUAUUUUUAUUAACUUUAUUUCAUGUUUAUAAUGUAGAUUUAAUUUCUUACACAUGUGAUAGUCUAAAUAAUGAAAGAGUUUGAAAAUUAUCGGUAAUUGACAAUCUUCCCUGUGGGAUUGACACCUAAUAUUCCAUGUACUCGAUCAACGAUUUGCAUACAUGCAAAAAAUGGGGUAUUUAGAUUUUAUUAAAAUUUAGUGCAUGGUAGAACCUCGUCAGGGGAAUUUGAAAUUAUGGAUUUAGAAGGCAGAAAGGAGAUUUAUGGCUUCUUUGGAAACAAAAUGAGGUGAGGGUCAACAUACUCAACAAGUCCCCUAAGAAAAUUCAUGCCACUAUCUAGGUAUCACCUGAUACCCCUUAUUGGUUGAUUUUUGCCAUCUAUGCUAGUUCUAAUUACAAAAAUCGAGUGGAACUCUAGAAUAAUCUUAGAACAGUGGCUAGUCAUGCCUCUUUACCUUGGCUUUGUCUAGACGAUUUCAAAAAGAAAUUGUCUAACUCAAAUAAAUUAGGAGGGAAUCCCAUUAACCAGGAACAUGCUAGUAAUUUUCAGGAUUGCCUAGAUUUUUGUAAUUUAAUGGACAUGGGAUACUCAGGACCUAAAUUCACCUGGCUUAACAAAAGGUACUUUGGGGGGCUUAUCUUUGAAAGAAUUGAUAGGAUUUUCUAUACCUUCUAAUGGAAUCAAUUGUUCCCAAAUUCCUAUAUCCUACAUCUACCAAGGACAAGAUUUGAUCAUUGUCCAGUGAUGGUUAACCUUUUUCAAUUUAAUAGGCCGGAAAAAUUGUUUAGGAUUGAAAAGUUUUGGUUGACUGAACCUACCCUUAGGGAGGUGGUUCAGAAUGCUUGGAUUAAUGGCUGUGACAUCUCUAAUGCCAUUAACCAAUUUAUUGAUGCUGCUAAACAGUGGAGCAAAGCCAUGUUCAAGGAUAUUUUUAAAGAGAAGAGAAUUCUGCUGGCUAGACUAAGGCAUUCAGAGGAGCCGAUAAGCUGGUCCCUCUACUUUUCGAAAUGACCUUGAAGAGCAACUUCAACAGGAGUACAACCAAAUUUUGAUCAAAGAAAAGGACCUAUGGUCCAUGAAAUUCAGAGUUGAUAGUUUAAUCUGGAAUGAUCUCAAGACUAAGUUCCUCCAAUCCUCAACCAUAGACAGGAGAAGAAGAAAUUGAUUUCUAGCUCUUAGAACCCAUUCUAGAAAUUGGAUCAAUGAAGCCACACAACUGAGAAACCAUAUUAUUCAGUUCUAUAAAACAUUUUUCACUUUUGAUAUGGUAGUUUCCUUCUUAGAGCUUGAUAGCUUCCCAGUGAUGAAAAGGAGGCUUGAUCCCAACUGCAAUCCCAACCUGAAAUUGCAGUUGGGAUCCAGUCCUACUACUCUUGAAAUUUGCCAAGCAGUUAAGGACCUAAAACCUUUUAAAGCUCCUGGGGCUAGAUGGCCUUCCACCAGCUUUUUAUCAAAAAUUUUGGCUAGAUAUUAGGAGUUCUAUUUCCUUCAUGACCCACAACACCUUUGAAAUUAGGUGACUUUCCAAAUAAUGUUAAUGACUCCUUCAUCUGCCUUAUCCCAAAAAAUAACCAACCUGAAACCGUUAAACAAUAUCAUCCUAUUAAGUCUCUGAAACACCUCUUCUAAGAUUCUAUCCAAGGUGCUAGUUAACAGGCUUAGGCCUCUAAUUGAUAGUUGAUACCUUCAUAUCCCCUAUGCAAACCAGUUUUAUUCUAGAAUGUAGAGGGACUAAUAAUGUGGUUAUUGUGCAAGAAGCUGUCCAUUACAUUAGCAAAAGCAAAAAGGCUGAUGGAUAUUGUGCUAUCAAAUUGGACUUAGAAAAAGCAUAUGAUAAGCUCGAAUGGAGUUUUAUCAGGGAGGCUUUGUACCACUUUGAUAUCCCCUUAUCACUCAGUAAGGUGAUUAUGAAAUGUAUCUCUACUUCUAGAUUGGCUGUUUUGAUCAAUGGUUCACCUGCAGAGUGGAUAUAUCUAUGAAGACGAAUUAGACAAAGGAACCCAAUAUCCCUAGACAUUUUUCUCAUCUGCAUAGAGUUUUUAUCCCCAAGCAUACAACAGGCUGCAGAACAAAAGAAACGAAAGGCCUUAAAGAUGGGGAGAAAUGGACCUGUUAUAUCACACUGCAUGUUUGCAAAUGAUGUAAUCUUGUUUUCAAGAUGUAUGGACUCUUCCAUUCUGGAGGUGAAAAAGGUGUUGGAUAACUUUUGUUUGAGAUUUGGGUUGGCCAUUACCUUGGAAAAGUAAAAAAUUUUCUUCUCCAACAACAGUACACACCAAAGCCAGUCUAUGACCACUUCUAUCCUAGGCAUCAGCAACAGUAAUGAUCUAGGAAGGUAUUGGGUGUUCCUCUUUUAAAUUCCAAAUCACAAAACACACCUACAGCUUCUUACUUGAUAAAACUCAGAAGCAAAUUGGUUCGGUAGAAAGCAAAUUUGCUCUCUUUUGCUAGGAGAAAAGCUAUCAUCCAAUAGUGACAUCCUCCAUCUCUUCUUUUUAUGCCCAUAGCAUCCCUGUGCCUAAAGCAACUUGUGAAGCAGUGGAAAAAAUUCAAAGAGACUUCCUUUGGGCCUCAAACCAAGAAAAGAGAAAGAUUCACUCGGUCAAGGGCCUCUUUGGCAUUGCAAUAACUUAUUGGAAAGUACUUUACCAAUAAAGCUUUUAAUAAAAAUAAUUAUUAAAUAAUUAAGUGCUUUUUAAUAUAUUAUUUAGAUACAUAAUUCAAUAAGCACUUAUUGUAUUGAAUAAUAUAUAAUUUAAAGAUUUUUAAAUAUAUUUAUCUCUUUAUUUAGUUUAUAAUAUAGGAUAAAAUAAUUAAAUUCAAUGUUUCAUUUUUUAAACCAUAGAAGCCAUUUUAAAAGCAUUAAAUUUGAAUUUUUACUAAAAGUGCUUCUAACCCCAAAAAUUUCACUCCUAAUUUUAUGGCAUGACGUUCACCAAACAUGUCAAAAAUACUUUUAACACUUAAAAGUAUUUUUCAAUCUAAAGCAUCGCAAUCCAAAACGGAGCCUAAAUGGGUAACUACCACUACCUCUGCUUCUCAAGGAGGACUUGGCCUCAGGAAAACUGCUGAUACUUGUAAGGCUACCAUGGCUGGGUUAUGUUGGAGGAUGAGGCAAAACCAGACUGAACCAUGGGCCGAUUUGCUUAGUAGAAGAUAUGUUGAUGAGGAGGCUUCUGCCCAAGAGAGAGAGCUUAUUCUCUCCAAAAAAAAAACAAGGUUCCAUCAACAAAAAAUGUCUUAACGUAGGUGUAGAGCUAUACAAUACAGGAACGGUGUGGGCAGUAAGGAAUGGAAAUCUGACUAGUGUGGUUAGAUGGACAGAAGUUGGACCAAUUAGAAGGCACAUCUCCGGACCUCUAACUGAUGGAGAAGAUCAACUUAUUGUCAAUCAAUUUUUUGGUCUAGGUUCGUUGUGGGACCUCAGUCACAUAUCAGUCCAACUAUCUGAUCAUAUCCUUAAAGUAGUUAAAUCCAUUCUAGAUAAUAGGUCACACAAGCUAAUGAUUCCAUCUGUUGGAAAGGGAAUGCUUCUGGCCUUUUUAGUCUCAAGUCAGGAAUAGAUAUGUUAUCCUCCAACAGGGGGGAGGCUGUAAUUCUGAUUUGAAGUGGAUUUGGAAAGUGGUAGCUAGUACUAGGGUCAAAAUUUUCCUAUGACUAGCCAGCUAGGACAGGCUUUCCACCAAAAACAAUCUGCUGAAAAGAAAGAUUGUUCAAGAGGAAAAGUGCACUCUCUGUGAUCAUGGUAAAGAAGCUGCUCUUCAUAUGCUGGGGUGGUGCAUGGAUGCUGAAAAACUUUGGAGUAGCCUGGCUAUUCCAACCUCAUUCAAACCUGCUAAGAAUGACAAUGUGGGAGGUAGGUUGAGAAAAGUCUGCUUGAAAACAGAACACUCUCCACACUCAAACCUGCCUUGGGGAACCAUAAUUGCUUAGGAUGUUGGCUGCUUUGAAAAAAUAGGAACAAAAGACUGUUUGAAGGACAAAAUACUUCCAUAUGCCUUCAAAAAUCCAUGGUGGCCUCUGCAGCAGAGUUUCUAAAAAUAAGCCCAAACAACGGAGCAGGUUUCAAGGUCAAAGAGCAGAUUAAUGUCUGCUGGCAACCUCCCACUAGCCCUUACUUUAAAUUGAACACGGAUUAUCCAUGGGUAAUCCUGGUCCUGCUGGAGCAGGAAGCAUAAUCCGUAACCAUUUGGGUGAAUGGAUUGGAGGAUAUAGUAUGAAGCUGGGAUGGUCUACUAACUUGAAUGCUGAGUUAUGGGGCCUAAGAGAUGGAUUCAUUCUAGCUCAAUCUCUCAAUAUUUCUCAUCUUAAUGUAAAAAUGGAUGCUAGAGUCAUUAUGGACUUGCUACUGGAUUCUAACUCUAAUAUUCAUGCAUCCUCUUCACUUCUUAUUGAUUGCAAGACUAUCAUGAGCAGAAUCUAAUUAGUUUCCGUUAGAGGUGUUCUGUGAAGCAAACAAAUGCGCGGACCUUUUGGCAGAGAAGGGCGUGGAAGGCUGGAAGCUGAAGGUGAUUUCAUUUUGUUUGAGAAUAGGCUCCUAGAUAUUUCUAAGUUAUUAGCUGAUGAUGUUAGGGGCUUAUGCCUGCCACGUUUUGUAAACUCUAACUAAUAUCUAUAUAUUCUACUUUUCUUUUUUCUUUUUUUUUUAAAAAGGAAAGAAUUGAAAUGAUAUUGAAUACCUAUAUAUCAAUAAAAUUUUGUUUAAUAAACAUUUAGGAAUAAAACUGGUGUUUUAAAAAUUUUUAUAAAGCUUGCUUGAACUUUCUUUAAUUUUCCGCCCAUAUUUGGGCAAAAAAAGUUUUAUUAACUAGAGCUGCCAGUGUGAUCCAUCCAAAUCUUCUCAUUUCUUUUCUUUUCCGUCAAGCCACAACUCCUAAACAUCAGAAAAGAGCAACUUUCCCUCACUGUUUUUUUUUUCUUUUCCCCUCAAAUCUAAGCUUCCAAACUAAGCAGAACUAAAAUUGUUAUCAGUUGGAAGAUUGUGUUGCAUCAGUUGUUCUUAGGUUGGAGGCAUUACGUGUGAGAAAUGAAAGAUGAAUCUCAAUUGGUAUCCACGUCAGUCAAUUUGCGUCUAUACAAAUCUUUGAGGUCACUCUGCUUUGGUGUGGUCUCUUGGCCACAGAAAACGAUACUAACUAAUCGGGGCAAUUCAACUUCAGCAUUCUUGCCUAGCGUGCAAUUGAAUUUGGGGUCUGCCUGUGCAAUUGACUUGCAAGGAAACAACACGCCUGGAAAGGGACUACAAAUAGCGUAUUUGUGUAUAUAAGAUUUCUAGGUUCUGGACACGGAAAUGGUGAGAAUUUCACCAUCCUCUCGAGUCUCGACCGACAGCUAUAAAUGCUUCAAGAAAAGGCUCUUAGCAGAUUUGUUAAACAAACGAAUAUGAUUGCUUUUGCCGCGUUAGGUUCCAGUCUUAACAAGUGUUGAUUCACUGAUUAUAAGGAAAGGUUCCCAAAUGCCAUUGAAUUAGAGUGGAGUGGUAGUUUACUUGAACCAUGGACUUUGAUCAUACAAACUCUGUCAUUCUUUCAUGAAUGGAUCAGUUAAAAUGUAGUUUUUCUGCCUGCUAAUUUCUGUCUUAUCUUUGCUACCAAAUGGCCUACAAGUGAGAUGCACAGAAAAGUAAGAGGCAUAUGUAGAUAAACUAUGAGCAAUCUUCACCUGUUAAUGCAUUCAAGCGGGUUAUAGAAACCUUUCACCGUGAGGACCAGAAAUUGUAAAUACUAGAGCAAAGGUAAAUGAUCUCAUCACCUUGUGUUUCUAAGGAUACAAUUUGAAGAUAAAAAUAAUUGACCCUGGUAAUUCAUUUUUGCACGCUUUACUAUCUUAUCCACGAACAGAGCUCUCGGAUAAUAUAUCAGUUAAACAUUUUCGCAGUUUUUGAUCCACAAAUGCAUUCCUGGUUUGAUAUGGUAUGCAUGAAAAGUACACAUCCACCAAAUCAGAGAGACGAAAAGGCUAAUUAAUACCGAAUUAGCCAAAAAACAACCGUCAUUUUCAGAGCUAUAUUUUUGGACCAAACUGGCUGAAACCUUAAAGAAAUCAAGUUCUGCCUAAAUCAAACAAGCUAGCAAUAGCCUCAAUGGUCUCCAACAUUAUCAAUUGCUUCCCAAUUUCUGGCAACAAUCAACUUCCUGUAAUCCUUUUACCAUACACCACUAGUAUACCAUU
Molecule: long non-coding RNA, 28206 nt
Filed under: Coffea arabica (coffee)
Lineage: Eukaryota; Viridiplantae; Streptophyta; Magnoliopsida; Gentianales; Rubiaceae
Description: long non-coding RNA (CARA_LNC000497)
Source: RNAcentral